Oryza sativa Japonica Group (Japanese rice) is the source of this 644-nucleotide long non-coding RNA. RefSeq lists it as uncharacterized. Lineage: Eukaryota; Viridiplantae; Streptophyta; Magnoliopsida; Poales; Poaceae. The record is from RefSeq and is a predicted model, not a curated record.
GUUUAAAUCCGGGUCAUCACUAGACUACUCGAGGUCGUCGCAGCAUUGCAGCAACCAUGGCUUCGCCUCUAUCUGCUCUAGCACCUCUGAUCCCGCCCGCUCCGCAGGUGCCAGUGCCAGUGCCACUGCUUCCUCCUCCUCUUCCCGUGCCGGUGCCGUCGCCGCUGAACUCCGGCUUGCAGAAACUGUAGUCGAGGUUCUUGUGCUGCGGUUGGCUUGUUCUCAUGCUGCUGCUGCUGCUGCCCACCAAAGCGUGAGCUAGGAUACCUCUUCUGUAGCAGCGGUUGCAGCCUUGCAGGACUGAAGAAGGUGACGGGGCUGAGGAAUCAGUCAUAUAUCCGCUGCUGAUCGAUGCAUUGACGCUGUCGCACCUGCAGGCUAUACUCUGUUGCGGAUAUAUGAUUUCUGUGUUUCUAAACCGUUAAGUCGUUAACUGUGUGCACUGUGGUGCUCCUUAUAAUUCUGUUCGUUUGAGUACCUGUGAAUUGUGAUGCAUAUCUGUGAAUAAAAGGAGACGUGCUUGCUAGCGUAGUGUGAGGAGUGUUCAUUGACUCAUUGUUCAACACUUCAACUCCUAACACAAGUUCCUCUUUAUUGCUUAUUUUUCACCCGUAAAUAAAUAAAACGCCAUUAUCUUGGUCUUA